This 134-nucleotide ribosomal RNA is filed under the name Aotus nancymaae (Ma's night monkey). Lineage: Eukaryota; Metazoa; Chordata; Mammalia; Primates; Aotidae. The record is from RNAcentral.
AUCUAUUGGUACACAACAAAUCAUCCUAACUUAGUGGCUUAAAACAACAAACUCUGAUCUUGGAAGAUAAGUGGGGUCGGGCCUGGUUAGUACUUGGAUGAGAGACCACGUGGGAAUACCGGGUGCUGCAGGCU